AUUGAACGCUGGCGGCAUGCCUUACACAUGCAAGUCGGACGGAUUUGAGGGGCUUGCUCCUCAAGUUAGUGGCGAACGGGUGAGUAAAGCAUCGGAACGUACCCAGUAGUGGGGGAUAACGUAGCGAAAGUUACGCUAGUACCGCAUACGACCUGAGGGUGAAAGCAGGGGAUCGCAAGACCUCUCGCUAUUGGAGCGGCCGAUGUCGGAUUAGCUAGUUGGUAGGGUAAAAGCCUACCAAGGCGACGAUCCGUAGCUGGUCUGAGAGGACGACCAGCCACACUGGGACUGAGACACGGCCCAGACUCCUACGGGAGGCAGCAGUGGGGAAUUUUGGACAAUGGGCGAAAGCCUGAUCCAGCCAUGCCGCGUGAGUGAAGAAGGCCUUCGGGUUGUAAAGCUCUUUCAGACGGAAAGAAAUCUUCUGGGCUAAUACCCCGGGAGGAUGACGGUACCGUAAGAAGAAGCACCGGCUAACUACGUGCCAGCCGCCGCGGUAA
Molecule: ribosomal RNA, 500 nt
Filed under: uncultured bacterium
Lineage: Bacteria
Description: partial 16S ribosomal RNA
Rfam family: Bacterial small subunit ribosomal RNA
Source: RNAcentral